CUUAGAGCCUUCUGCUUGGGAGUGUUAAUAGCUAUGCUUUUGGCCGGGCAUGGUGGUUAGUGAAUC
RNAcentral lists this non-coding RNA (66 nucleotides) under uncultured Prevotella sp. RNAcentral describes it as "L13-Bacteroidia ribosomal protein leader". It matches the Rfam family "L13-Bacteroidia ribosomal protein leader". Lineage: Bacteria; Pseudomonadati; Bacteroidota; Bacteroidia; Bacteroidales; Prevotellaceae. The record is from RNAcentral.